UUGAGGUAUAUCCCCGCGGGGGCCCGGCACACAGUGGCUGCAAACAGCAGCCUCCUCAGUAGUGUGUGCAGCCUGUUGCCUGUAUGCGUUGCCCUAGGGGACCUGGGAGACAGCC
This 115-nucleotide small nucleolar RNA is filed under the name Balaenoptera musculus (blue whale). RNAcentral's name for it is "Small nucleolar RNA SNORA70 (ENSBMSG00010017279.1)". It matches the Rfam family "Small nucleolar RNA SNORA70". Rfam says of the family: snoRNA U70 seems to be exclusive to mammals and is a member of the H/ACA class of snoRNA which contain H (ANANNA) and ACA box motifs. H/ACA box snoRNAs are involved in the conversion of uridines to pseudouridines (5-ribosyluracil) a constituent of structural RNAs (transfer, ribosomal, small nuclear, and small nucleolar). The record is from Rfam by way of RNAcentral. Lineage: Eukaryota; Metazoa; Chordata; Mammalia; Artiodactyla; Balaenopteridae.